GAUGAACGCUAGCUACAGGCUUAACACAUGCAAGUCGAGGGGUAACAAGAGGAAAGCUUGCUUUUCUUGUUGACGACCGGCGCACGGGUGAGUAACGCGUAUCCAACCUGCCUAUAACUAGGGAAUAACCUUGCGAAAGUAAGACUAAUACCCUAUGAUUUCCUCUGAUGACAUCAGAUUAGGAAUAAAGAUUUAUCGGUUAUAGAUGGGGAUGCGUCUGAUUAGCUUGUUGGCGGGGUAACGGCCCACCAAGGCAACGAUCAGUAGGGGUUCUGAGAGGAAGAUCCCCCACAUUGGAACUGAGACACGGUCCAAACUCCUACGGGAGGCAGCAGUGAGGAAUAUUGGUCAAUGGGCGGAAGCCUGAACCAGCCAAGUAGCGUGCAGGAUGACGGCCCUAUGGGUUGUAAACUGCUUUUAUACAGGAAUAAAGUUAGCCACGUGUGGUUAUUUGUAGGUACUGUAUGAAUAAGGACCGGCUAAUUCCGUGCCAGCAGCCGCAGUAA
This 506-nucleotide ribosomal RNA is filed under the name uncultured bacterium. RNAcentral describes it as "partial 16S ribosomal RNA". It matches the Rfam family "Bacterial small subunit ribosomal RNA", at positions 28 to 523 of the family's 1533-position model. The record is from RNAcentral.